This 18-nucleotide non-coding RNA is filed under the name Arabidopsis thaliana (thale cress). Lineage: Eukaryota; Viridiplantae; Streptophyta; Magnoliopsida; Brassicales; Brassicaceae. The record is from RNAcentral. RNAcentral also lists the same sequence under 1 other name.
UGUGAAGCAGAAUUCACC